RNAcentral lists this ribosomal RNA (859 nucleotides) under uncultured bacterium. RNAcentral's name for it is "SSU rRNA". It matches the Rfam family "Bacterial small subunit ribosomal RNA", at positions 524 to 1381 of the family's 1533-position model. The record is from RNAcentral.
GACAGAGGUGGCGAGCGUUGUUCGGAAUUACUGGGCUUAAAGGGCGAGUAGGCGGUAAAGCAAGUCCAAGGUGGAAGCCUAUGGCUUAACCAUAGAAUUGCCUUGGAAACUGUUUUACUUGAGUCAGUGAGGGGAGGGCGGAAUUCCUGGUGUAGCGGUGAAAUGCGUAGAUAUCAGGAGGAAGGCCUGUGGCGAAGGCGGCCCUCUGGCACUGGACUGACGCUGAGGCGCGAAAGCGUGGGGAGCAAACAGGAUUAGAUACCCUGGUAGUCCACGCCCUAAACGGUGGGCAUUAGGUGUAGGGCUCGUUAGGGUUCUGUGCCGCAGGGAAACCAUUAAAUGCCCCGCCUGGGGAAUACGGCCGCAAGGUUGAAACUCAAAGGAAUUGACGGGGGCCCGCACAAGCGGUGGAGCAUGUGGUUUAAUUCGACGCUACGCGAAGAACCUUACCUGGGCUUGACAUGCUAGUGGUAAGAACCCGAAAGGGGGAUGACUCCAACUUUGUUGGAGAGCUAACACAGGUGCUGCAUGGCUGUCGUCAGCUCGUGCCGUGAGGUGUUGGGUUAAGUCCCGCAACGAGCGCAACCCUUAUUCUCUGUUGGUCGGAAACGACCUCUCUGAGGAAACUGCCAGCGAUGAGCUGGAGGAAGGUGGGGACGACGUCAAGUCAUCAUGGCCCUUACGUCCAGGGCGACACACGUGCUACAAUGGCCGCUACAGAGGGUCGCAAUACCGCGAGGUGGAGCCAAUCCCUAAAAGCGGUCUCAGUUGGGAUCGGAGUCUGCAACUCGACUCCGUGAACGAGGAAUCGCUAGUAAUCGUGGAUCAGCCAUGCCACGGUGAAUACGUUCCCGGGCCU